AUUGAACGCUGGCGGCAUGCCUUACACAUGCAAGUCGAACGGCAGCACGGGAGCUUGCUCCUGGUGGCGAGUGGCGAACGGGUGAGUAAUACAUCGGAACGUACCCUGAAGUGGGGGAUAACGUAGCGAAAGUUACGCUAAUACCGCAUAUUCUGUGAGCAGGAAAGAGGGGGAUCGCAAGACCUCUUGCUUUAGGAGCGGCCGAUGUCGGAUUAGCUAGUUGGUGAGGUAAAGGCUCACCAAGGCGACGAUCCGUAGCGGGUCUGAGAGGAUGAUCCGCCACACUGGGACUGAGACACGGCCCAGACUCCUACGGAGGCAGCAGUGGGGAAUUUUGGACAAUGGGCGCAAGCCUGAUCCAGCCAUGCCGCGUGAGUGAAGAAGGCCUUCGGUUGGUUAAA
This 401-nucleotide ribosomal RNA is filed under the name uncultured bacterium. RNAcentral's name for it is "bacterial SSU rRNA". It matches the Rfam family "Bacterial small subunit ribosomal RNA", at positions 30 to 430 of the family's 1533-position model. The record is from RNAcentral.